Molecule: long non-coding RNA, 201 nt
Filed under: Elaeis guineensis (African oil palm)
Lineage: Eukaryota; Viridiplantae; Streptophyta; Magnoliopsida; Arecales; Arecaceae
Description: long non-coding RNA (EGUI_LNC030909)
Source: RNAcentral
AAUCUUUGAGGAAGGCGUCAGCAAAUCUAGUCAUGAUUCUCGCAUGUCCUCUCCCUCAAUCCCCUCCAGUUGGUGGUGUUGCCGUGCUUCUGACAUUAGGUUUGAUGACGUCGAUUGUAAAUAGAUUAAUAACAUUUUCCCUCUCAUCUAAACCAAGCUAUGCGGAUGUUCUCAAAAGCGGCAAGGAUCCCACCCACCUGC